This 812-nucleotide ribosomal RNA is filed under the name uncultured Bacillota bacterium. Its description in RNAcentral is "bacterial SSU rRNA". It matches the Rfam family "Bacterial small subunit ribosomal RNA", at positions 58 to 847 of the family's 1533-position model. The record is from RNAcentral. Lineage: Bacteria; Bacillati; Bacillota.
CAAGUCGAACGCGAAAGUGGAGCAAUCCAUGAGUAGAGUGGCAAACGGGUGAGUAACGCGUGGGUGACCUGCCUUCGAGCGGGGGAUAACGUUUCGAAAGGAACGCUAAUACCGCAUGACAUCCUGCCUUUGAAGAGGUGGAGAUCAAAGCUGGGGAUCGCAAGACCUAGCACUUGAAGAGGGGCCCGCGUCUGAUUAACUAGUUGGUGAGGUAACGGCUCACCAAGGCGACGAUCAGUAUCCGGCCUGAGAGGGCGGACGGACACACUGGGACUGAGACACGGCCCAGACUCCUACGGGAGGCAGCAGUGGGGAAUUGUUCGCAAUGGGCGCAAGCCUGACGACGCAACGCCGCGUGGAGGAUGAAGACCUUCGGGUCGUAAACUCCUUUCGAUCGAGACGAAAGACUUCCGGGUGAACAAUCCGGGAGAGUGACGGUACCGAGAGAAGAAGCCCCGGCUAACUCCGUGCCAGCAGCCGCGGUAAUACGGGGGGGGCAAGCGUUGUUCGGAAUUACUGGGCGUAAAGGGCUCGUAGGCGGCCAACUAAGUCAGACGUGAAAUCCCUCGGCUUAACCGGGGAACUGCGUCUGAUACUGGAUGGCUUGAGGUUGGGAGAGGGAUGCGGAAUUCCAGGUGUAGCGGUGAAAUGCGUAGAUAUCUGGAGGAACACCGGUGGCGAAGGCGGCAUCCUGGACCAAUUCUGACGCUGAGUGAGCGAAAGCCAGGGGAGCAAACGGGAUUAGAUACCCCGGUAGUCCUGGCCCUAAACGAUGAAUGCUUGGUGUGGCGGGUAUCGAUCCCUGCCGUGCC